This is a long non-coding RNA of Oreochromis niloticus (Nile tilapia), 1437 nucleotides long. RefSeq lists it as uncharacterized. NCBI's taxonomy places the organism in Eukaryota, Metazoa, Chordata, Actinopteri, Cichliformes, Cichlidae. The transcript is spliced from 3 exons. The record is from RefSeq and is a predicted model, not a curated record.
UGUCCCCCAGUCUGUGUUCAGUCGGUGUGUUUCCUGUUUUACUUUGAAGGUCCUUGUCUUAUGUGAGUGUGUUCAGUUUACGUUUCCCCUGCCUCAUCAGUUGUGAUUUCACCCAGGUGUGCUUCCGUCUCCCAUCCCCUGAUUACUGCUGUGUGUAUUUAAGCCCUGUGUGUUCUCCUGCCUGUUGCUGGUUCGUCUGUGUUAUUUGGUGUUUUCGUUUCUGUGAAUCUCCUGCCGUCAUCCUGUGAAUUCUCCCUGCAAGUUGCUUUCUCUCGUGUUCAGGUUUGGUGUUUAGGUUUUAGUUUUCCCAGUGUAGUUUAUAUCUAUGUUCGGUUUAUCGCCACACUCUCCUUUUGUUUGUUAUCACUCGGGUUCUGUGUCAAUAAAGCCCUCUCACUUCACUGCAUCUUGGAUCCUUUGUUAAAUUCCCACGGCUUGCCCCGGCAACCCUUGAGAGGAAGACUGCUGCGGGAAAAGGAACAUCUUCCAAACUGACAUCCUGUAGAAACCAGUUAAACUGGUUGGGUGCCAGUAAUAAAGGAAUCAUCUUUUAAAAUUAGGUUGCUGCAUAACUAGUAAAAAACCUGAAAUGGUGGUGAACUGCUUUGCAAACACUGGUGUCAUGGCACAGAACAAUAAACCAUCAGAGGCUCUCCCCCCGCUCCUCCCAGGAUUCAUUUACAACCUGAAGAGAACAGGUGACCGUAUCCCACCCUGUUGGACUCCAUUCAUAAACAUCCUAUGGCACCAAACCAUGAAGUCGUCCUUUAAACUGCUUCCUGUGAAGUAGACAUAGGAUCUUCUUCCUGGAAAGGGACUGCAGCUCUUCUUUCUGGGUGUCCUCCAUUUACGAAAGCUGCUGACAGGCUAAGCUGAGGAGCUCUUUCCUGUGAUGCGUUUCAACAGAGUCCACUCUGACAACCACUUGCCUUUGAAGGGUGCUAAUUAUAUUUCAGAAAACAUGAAUGGCAGAAAAUAUUACAUUUUAAUGGGUCAGUCAUACAAGAGUGACCAGAAAAACACAGAAAUUGUCUGAGCACUAUUCACCCACUCCAUUUUCCAGCACCCACGGAGUCACCAGAUGCCUUUGUGCAACCCAACCGGACAUCUUUUCCUUUUUACUAGGGCUCCAUUCAAGCCACCACCUUUAUCUCCACCAAGAGCGUCUGGGCUCCAGGGGGUCCUGCUCUGCUCCCUAUCACAGCUGGGGUUUGGAAACGGGCCAUCAGAGUCUAAGCGCCAAAUACCUCCAUGUAAAUUCUGUACAUCAACAAAGCAUGUCCAUUUUUUUCUAAUGAUCUCUCCUUAUUAAAAUAAUAAUCUUCACACAAUCAAUUCAUGUGAAUUAUAUCUAAUUAACCUACUCUGAGCUAAUGCCGAUUUUGUGCUAAGCACCCAAACACCCCUUGGAAAUGCACUCCCACAGGAAUACAGUGG